This is a non-coding RNA of Sus scrofa (pig), 1582 nucleotides long. Lineage: Eukaryota; Metazoa; Chordata; Mammalia; Artiodactyla; Suidae. The record is from RefSeq and is a predicted model, not a curated record.
UAGGGAAAAAGAAUCAGCAUUGAGCAUUACAAAAUGCCCAGCAUUCUGUAAGUUCUUUCAUUUCAUUUAGUUUACAUUUCUGUGUAUAUUCCCUUUUACAUUCUGAAGUUGCAUAAGAAUAGCUACUAUUUAAGCCAAAAGAAGUGCAAUAAGUCACAAAAAAAUCAGUGGUUAUUUAUUAGGCAUCUUUACUCACUUGACAGUCAAAGCUUAUCAAACACCUACUCUCCAUAAACCCAUUUCUAAAACCCAGGUAUACAAGAAGGAAUAAAAUAUAAGCCCCUACUCUCAAGAAGCUUACAGUCAGUCCUGUGUAAAAGACAGAAACCUAAGGAGAUAAUUAGAAUGUAGUGUAGUGGGAAAUAUGGAUGUAUUCAAGGCAGGAUGGACCACCAGAGCAAAGCACCUCACUGGGCCCAGGAAUAGAAGGGAGGGUGUCAGGACAGGUUGCUGGUGGAAAAGGCAACUGAGUUGAGCCAUUCAAGUGUAAAGUUAACCAAAUAAGGAAUGGGAAGAGGAGGAUAUGUGGGUUUCACACUGACAUGAUUGCUAAAAAUAAUGGCAUGGACUCAAAAAAUGAUAUGCAGGAAAUUGCAAAAAGUCUGGAACUUCUGGGGCAUUAGGCAUCUAUCACUCAGAUAUGAUGAAAGAAGAGCAUAGAGAAGUAGGAGGCAAAUGUAAGGGCAUCUGGGCUUUAUUCUGUGAUUGGAGAAAAACCCUGGAAGGCAUGGAAGCAGAGGACACUGGGCUUGUGCAUGUGUGUUUGCUAAUUGACUUGACCACGGUGAGGGUAAGAGGGCUCAAGACUACCUGGGGCAGAAGAUCAGGGAGGAGGCUGUGGUUGAGAGUGAAGCAGAAGGUUGAAGUCCAGACCCCCAGGACCUCAAAAUGUGACUGUUCGGAAGAUAGAGCAUUUAAAGGGGCAACUACCUCUUAUGAAAUGAAGUCAUGUGUGUGGGCCACAAUCCACUGUGACUAAUGUUCUUAUAAGAAGAGGCGAUGAUAACAUAGAGACAUGCGGAGAGAAAACCACGUAAAGAUACAGGGAGAAGAUGACCAUCUACAAGCCAAGCAGAAUGGCCUCAGAAGAAACUGACCCUGCCCACACCUUGACCUCAGGCUUUGAGCUCCCAGAUUGUGAGAAAAUAACUUUCUCUUGUUUAAGCCUGCCAUUCUAUGGUACUCUGUUAUAGCAGCCCUAACAAAUUAAUACACCUACUCCAUGAAACUCCACAAAAGCUGGGUUAUUAAUAGCCUACCUCUAACAACAAAUGUUGUGGAGUGCUUUGCUUCUAUACAAAUAUAUAUAUAUCAAAAUUUUCCCAUAAUUCACAUAUCUUCAUUUUAAAAAACAGCUCUGAAAAGUCUCUCUGACUUAAAACACUGUAGCUAUUACUUCAUUUUUUAAGCUUCAAAAUAAUGACAUUUAAUUUAAAUUUUUCAGUGAUUAACUCCAGCAUUUCAUCUAAUUUGCCUAAAUUAUUUUCGUCUUGUGUGUCUUACAUAUUGAGACCUUGGGAAUUGUGAACUUAUGAAAAUUCCAUGUAAAUAUCCAGAGUUGUGGUUGGUGUGAACUCUUGAA